Molecule: transfer RNA, 75 nt
Filed under: Rosa chinensis
Lineage: Eukaryota; Viridiplantae; Streptophyta; Magnoliopsida; Rosales; Rosaceae
Description: tRNA RchiOBHm_Chr4g0403331
Rfam family: tRNA
About the family: Transfer RNA (tRNA) molecules are approximately 80 nucleotides in length.
Source: RNAcentral
GGGGGAUUUAGUCCAGUGGUAGGAUGCUCGCUUAGGGAGCGAAAGGUCCCGAGUUCAAUUCUCGGAAACCCCAUC